UCGGAUUCAAUCCAUUUCGUUUAUUUUGCAAACGGCGAAGGUGCCCCGUUACAUUCCUCCAGCCAUCAUCACACGUAUCUAUACUUCCUUGAGGAAGUUAACUUAAUUUUUAACCUGGCAUAUCAACCAGGGCGGUUUAAUGGGAGCUUUCAUUUCUCUAUCGUGGACCAUGCCAGAGUCAAGCGCCAAACAGACUGGUCACCCUCACCCGCCCAGCCAGAAUUUUUCAACAUCCGUACGUUGGCCCCGUAUGACGGUGUGGCAGGACUCUCGUCAGAUGAAAAUGCUACUGCAGAAAAAACAUGCUUCAAGCGAUACCGAUGUUCAGUCGCGAACGUGAUCUUCUAAGGCUGUCAAUCCGCUUUAAAGAGCCAACCUCCCGCAUUCUAUUUAUUUCCUUAUUGAGAGGAACGGUUUAUUGUUGGAACUCCGAAAGACCCGAAAAGGCUAUAGCUCUAGUGCCCCUCUCCCUUCUUUUUGCUUUAGCCGUUUUGAUUUUGAUUGAAAAUGCUUAGAUUUUAUUUGUUACUUCUUACAGUAUCUUCUUCUGCCUUCUCGGGUAACUGUGAAUAUGCUUGAAAUGUGAAGACGCCUCGAACGACGAUUGUUUUCGGAGCAACGAGAUGUAUGAUGGAAAAUGGGGCAGCAGGGCUGUCGGCGGCAAUACCGGCAGUUUUAACGGUUAAUCAAAUGGUUCGCAAUUAUUUUAAUUGUAGGAGUCGUUAUCAUUAGCGGCUAUUCACUCGGUGCAAGAGAAGCAAGUCUUUUAUAGCCCGCGUCCCUAGCCGCGUUUUUGACAGCGUCUAGUUCGUUAUCAUUGAUCGCACGAUUUAUUUCCGCAUACCGAAUCUCUUGGCCACCAGUUUUUCCUCGUCGCUUCUUGCCAACGUGAGCAUCGGGAUGAUACUGCUCCAUAAUAUGAAUAUAUAAAUCCUUCGAUACAUUCUCAGCCAGCCAACGCACGAUCUCCCGCCCUUCGUCUUCCAUCCCUGGCAUUACUAGAUGUCGAAGGAGCACCCCACGUUUCGCAAUACCGUCAGAGGUGAAACUCAAAUCUCCAACUUGUGCAUGCAUCGCUUUGAUGCUCUCCAUCGCCGUUUCAGUAUAGUUAUCUGCCUUCAAGAGCCGCUUGGAAGAACUGGUCUUCCAGACUUUGAAAUCUGGAAGGUAUAUAUCGAUGAGACCGUCUAGUAGAGCUAUGGAUUCUAAAGAGUCAAAUGCAGACGUAUUGUAUAUGAUAGGUAUUUUGAGACCCAUGUCCGCAGCGGUGAGGAUCGCCAGGGCCACCUGCGGAACUACAUGUUCUGGGGUGACAAAGUUUAUGUUGUGGACCUGCCCUACGUUCUGUAAUUUUAACAUCCACUCUGCCAACUCCUCCGGUGUUAGAUUAAAUCCAUUACGUUGGUGUGAAAUGUCCUGUGGUAUGUGUAUCGUCAGCCAACGUUCAACGUGUCCGGCGAGCGGGAUCAAGCCUCCAGAAAGGAAUAUACAACGAACGUGGUUUUGACAAAAUGUGCAUCUCAAGUUGCACAUCGAGAAGAACACUGAGCCGCUCCCUCUUGACCCCUGGAUGCAUGGCUCUUCUCCGAAAUGCGGCGCAAUCACAUUGACUUUCACAGUCUCUCCAGGUAUUAGACAAUAACCUGUCUUUUCGUACCGGUUUACUCCGCAUAGUCGGGGGCACAAAUUGCAGUUCCUCAAAUGGGAAUAUGCCUUAGAGCGCUUCUUUGCUGCAUCCACAGAUGAUAAAAGUUGAUGCUGUGGUAUAUAUUCAUCAAGGAGAUAAGGGGGUGAGAGAUGCACUGAGCGGCUUUGGCAAGCACGGCUG
This 1828-nucleotide small RNA is filed under the name Histoplasma capsulatum var. duboisii H88. RNAcentral's name for it is "Histoplasma capsulatum H88 hypothetical RNA". Lineage: Eukaryota; Fungi; Ascomycota; Eurotiomycetes; Onygenales; Ajellomycetaceae. The record is from RNAcentral.